GCUCCGGUAGUAUAGUCCGGUCAAGUAUGGCGGCCUCUCGAGCCGCAGACCCGGGUUCAAAUCCCGGCCGGAGCA
Molecule: transfer RNA, 75 nt
Filed under: Candidatus Caldarchaeum subterraneum
Lineage: Archaea; Thermoproteati; Nitrososphaerota; Candidatus Caldarchaeales; Candidatus Caldarchaeaceae
Also listed under: 6 other names
Description: Candidatus Caldiarchaeum subterraneum (hot springs metagenome) tRNA-Glu
Rfam family: tRNA
About the family: Transfer RNA (tRNA) molecules are approximately 80 nucleotides in length. Their secondary structure includes four short double-helical elements and three loops (D, anti-codon, and T loops).
Source: RNAcentral